This 11405-nucleotide long non-coding RNA is filed under the name Homo sapiens (human). RNAcentral describes it as "HSALNT0053413". The record is from RNAcentral. Lineage: Eukaryota; Metazoa; Chordata; Mammalia; Primates; Hominidae.
CAGGUAUAGAACUGGACAGUGCUAGAGAACUGGACACUGGAGAACUGAUAAGGAAGUCUCCCUAGGCUCUGCCUCUCACUCCGAGGACCAGACCAGAUCUUGGAGGGUCUAGUCCAACUGCACAUGCUCACAGGAAGCCCAGCUGAUUCCAGGAACCCUAGGAGGCAAUAUAGUUCUGGGGUCAGUAACAGUGGCUUUGGGGGCUGUAGGCAGAGUGCUCUGAGGCCCUGGGCCAGACUCAGGGGCUGGGCCAGGCUGUUGGCAUGCUGCUGUUUCUCUAGAGGAAUUAUGUCCUGCAGCCAGACCAGUAGAUAGGCUCAGGCCCAAGUAUGGUGGAUUAAGACUGACCUGAGAGAACACGAUAUCAGCACAUCCAUUGAUGGGAAGGAAGGACGUUGACCCAAUAGGCCAUUGGCUUUGUGGAACAACAGUCUUGAAAACCCUUGGAGAAGAUAGGUGCAGCCAACUCUGGAGGACUGCCUGAAAGGGAGCAGAGCCUGUAGAGGAGGCAUGGAGCCUCUGGAUGAAGGGCCGGUGCAACAUUCAGAGUUCAGUAUUGAUCGUGUUUGUGAUUUAAACACUCAGAGACCAAGGAAUUGACCACUUUGAUGUGGAUUGAUGGUUUCCUGAUGCUUUAUGACAGGUACUUCUAGGAGUCUCCAAGAUGGCUUGUGUGAACACGUGUCAGACCAGGUUAUUGGAGGCCACCGUGCUGUCACCUUCCUCUGCCAAGUCCAGGCCCACUGUGGGGACCGCUGUCCAGGCUUAGAAACUCCGGUAUGAACACUGGUGGGCGGGCACUCUCCCGUAGCUGCCCUUGGCCACAAUGGAGAUCUCCCCUGGCCCUCUCCCAGACUGAGUCACCUGUACUACACAGUUUGCCCUGUUUGACACAACUGCCAGCCAAACCUGAGAUCCUCCUGGGUCACUGGCCAUGCCCAGGAGAGGCCUCGAGGAGCCAAUCUUUGCAGCCCAGCCACAGAUGCUCUUGGCCAUCAAGGAGCUUUACUGAGCCCUGUCAGGGGACAGGAGGAUUCACUUCCCUCAGCUCCCCUCUGUGAGACACCUAUAGUAAGGCUACAGAUUUCAAAGGGACGCCAAAUUUGGUUGUUUCCACCAGCGAAACCCAUUUUUGCCCUAGGGCCCACAUAGAUCAUCAGCAUAGUGAUGUCAGCAGCACCCUUCAGGCCCAGGGGCAGAAAACUGCUGGUUGUGACAUCCUUCCUCUUCUCCUCCCCUUUAAAGACCCUGCCUUCCUUUUUCAUAAUUGGCUCAAAUCACUCUCCUCCCACUCUGAUCUCACAUUCAUUAAUUCAUCUGGUCAACAUCAAAUAUUCAUUAUGCACCAAUUAUCUGUAAAACGGGGAUAGGAAUAAUGAUAUUUCAUUGUCUUGGUUUCGGUCUUCGUGCAAGCAGACUUGAGACAAGGGCUUGGUUGCAGGCUUUUUAUUCGGGAGGUGAUCCCAGGAAGCAGGAGUGAGGGAGCAGGAAGAUUGAGCAGGGAAGGAGGAAAACAGUAACCUAAGGGUGUGCUAUUGGUUACUGCUGCUGGCAGUGGGAGCCCAAGUGCAUUGGCACAUCUGAGAAGCACACAGAAGCAUCCCAGGAUUGUCCUCCUGAAGGAAGGGAGGCAAGAGCAUUUAUCCAUAGCUCCUAGCCCCCUUGGUAGAUAGUUGCCUUGGGACAGGGAGUGAGAGGUUGGGGGUUACCUGCCCUGACCUUUAGAGGGCUGAGCUGAUUUCUGCAGCUUUAGCAAGUCUUUAAGGCAGAGAGGAGCAAGCCAUGGGCACAUGCCUAAGUGGCACUGUCCAAGGAAGAAGCUCCUCCUUGCAGUUGGACUGAAGUCAAGAGUGGGAUGAGGGGCCGUGAUACAGCACGGAAAACAUACACUACACUUUCUCAUGAAGUAGUUACCAUUAACUGAGUUAAUUUAUGUAAAACACCUAGAACAAUACCUGCCCCCAAUAAGGCUAUAUGUGUGUGUUUGCUGCUAUUAUUUGUGUGACUAUUACAUGUGCCUGGUGCUUCUCCAGGCUCUGUAGGUAACACUCUCAUGAGACUUACUUUCAGCUCACAAAACAUGCCUUGUUUAUGUGUCAAAGCUCUGAUUCUUGAUACUGUCCAAGUUCUUUUGCCAGGAGAUUCUCAGCCCCCAUGUUUGGGGAUGGCCAGGGGACAUGGCCCCACUUGACUGCCUGCCUUGCCAGUAUCUCUGAUCCAUUUUGGAGGCCUGCCCUGCCAUGCUCUGCUUCCCAGGAUCCUGAACAAGGAUUUGAGAACUAAGGUUUGAAUUCUGCAUAUGAAACAGUCAAACUCAAGUUGUCCAUCUGCUGGGAAAAGAAAAUAGCUUCAGAGCAAAGUCACUUGCCUUUUAAUAAUUGAUGGAUAAAAGAUUGCAGCAUGUGCAAAAACACACUUUCCAGAUCUGCCACUAAGAACGGUUCGGGCAGAAGAAACUGCUCUUUCCAUUGCCCCAGAGGCCAGGCCUGCCCUCAGCUAAUCUGGUGACCUAAUCCUUUCACAUGGGGGAGGACCAGAGCAUUUGCAUACAAGCAAUGAAUGCAUCUUUCCACCAGAGGCUUCCAGAGGCAAGUCCAAUCUAGUUAGUGCUUAUCUGUCCAAGCUGGCUGACCUUCUCCCAGUGCACAGUCCAGUCCCAAGUCCUCCCACCCCUGCCUUGUUCCCAGAACGAGUCUUGACUAUUCUAGCCUCAUACCUCGUCCCUAAGUUGCAACACUUGAUAUGGCUCCUUGAGGACUGCCUUGGCCAUCUCCUUGUUGCCGCUCCCACUGACUGCUUGGGUUUCAGCAGUUCACGGCUUCACGAGGCAACCCCUCCCUCUUGGUUCUAUGAUAACAUAACCGGUCACAGGCCUUUUGCCCAGCCCAGGCACUGAGGGACUGGGACCUGCCCUGGCCCCAUCUUGGCUUUCACAAAUGGGAGCUGGUGAGGUCUCACCCAGGUGAAACCCGGAAUUCACUUUCCUUUCAAAUGUUAAUAUGUUGCUGUGAAAACAUGCCUUUAUCAGUCCAGAAUCCUGUGUCUGUAAUCUCAAUAUCUAAAAGCUCUGAAAGCCAAAAGUUGGUUAUAAUCUGCAUGGUAGCAAAAUCUAACAGGGUUAAUUUCAUUUUCCAGAAUUAUCUGACCUGCACUAAGUGGAGGCUAUCUAUUGCCUUUAUUGAUCUCAUUUGGUGUGAAUACGCAUACAUGCUGCUGGAGAAAUAUUAAUGUCAUUGAUUACGAGGUGUCCCAGAGCUCACUGGGGUGUUGAUGUAUGAAGUGGUAUGUGCACCAAACUGCCUUUCUAAAAUACAUUCUGAAUUCUGAAACAUACCUGGCCCCAAGAUUUUGGAUGAGGAAUUUAGGCCUGUAUUAAAAUUAACCCAGGGAGGGUUAGGGCCUGGGAGAAGUGACCAUGAGUGGCCAUUGUUAUCUAAAGCUAAUGCAGGGAGCCAGGGGCAGCAGUGGCCUGAGUUAAAUAUCACUGGAUCCUUUAGUAUAAUUACAGAGUCAGGACUUAAGGAGAGUCAUUGACAUCCCUUUCAUCAAAAAGAAAAGAAAGAAUUGCUCCCUGUAAUCCAUACCCAUUAAUUCAGCAUCUCCCCUAGAUAGCUGAAACCCCUUCAGAAAGACUGGAAUAUUUUCUAGAUAAUAAAUCUGGGUCUUUAUCUUUCCCUUUUCUUCUUUCCCCUCUUCCCUUUGCCCCAUCCCUGAACUUCCCCCUCUUCUUGUGUUUUUGUCCAUAAAAGAGCAGCUUCUGUCAUUCAUGUGACAAUGAGCCUCCUUAGGUAAUUAAAGGGGAGUCUGCAGCCUGAACUACAAGUGAGAGGUCAUCUUUUUCAGCUUAUAGUCCUACCUCUACUGGGAGUGUGAUUCUGGGGACAAGAAGGAAGAAACGGUGCCAAAGCGCAUGGAUGGCCAAUUGUGCGCCUGGCUCUUCCAUGUGGAGUAGGCAGUGGGGCUGCUUGGAGCACACUUAGUGUUUGCCCUCCAGAUUUUUCCAGUCUCCUCAUAGAUGACCCAUGCCUGAUCUAGAAUAGGGAGGCAGGGUUUUAGAUUUAACUAGAAGUCUUCAUUUGUAUUCUUCCCAGAAGCAGACCCUGAGAUGAGGGUUCUGGGAAAUAAGGAGAACAGCAGUUGGGAAGAGGAGAACAAAGCCAGGGGAUGACUAGAGCUUAAUCCUUUGGGGAAACUCUGGGUAACAGCACAGAACACACCUCAGAGUUAUCUUCCUAAGGUGCCAGAUGAGGGAGUUGAGGUAUUUAUACACCCUCUCCUGAGACUCAUGGGUUGAGGGCUGCUGGAGGCUGCGAUGACAAUGCCCUGACACAUGGGCCUGCUUCCUGGGGGCAAAAGCCUCAGGCACAGACAUACAUACACUGGGGUUUGAAGUUGAUUGUUACAUACUGUAAUAGUAACAUCCAAGCAAUACUAGCAGGGCACUGACAGCAUCUAAUACAGUUUUUUUUUUUUUCACUAAAAUGCAAAGGAAUGUUUGCAUUUCUUUAUCAGAAGAAGGAAAAGAAUGCCAGUCUUCCCAUUUUGAUGGUUGUGCCCACAAGAACCAGCAGAGCCUGGAAGGACAAUAUGCUUGGUAGUGGGAUCAUUUGGGGCUAGUGAGGGGGCAGGGUCUCGGGAAAAAGGGCACGGUGCCUGGUGAAGGGAGUCAUUCUGGGGGUGCUGCAGUGAUGAUGCUAGUGGCAGCUGUGCCCUUGGCAAUGGGAGUGGGGGUCUGCUACUGCAGUGAACCCUGAAAGCAGUAGGGAGGUGCUUCUUUAUAUCCCUUAGAGACUUCAGCAAAAAAUAUCCUUGAAUAAGGCUAGGGUAGGCAAGGGAAAAAUGGCAGGCACAGCAGUGGACUCAGCUUGAUUGUGAAGCCCUUUCUUAGGCUCUGUAUGGGGCUGGAAAUACCACAUGUGUCCUGUUUGGUGGGGAGGGGUCCUGUUGGGUGGAUAAGUGAUGCUCAGAGCAUUUCUAGGGCAGGAGUUGUCAAACUUUUUCCUGCUAAAUAUUAUAGGCUUUAGGGGUACUACUGUCUCUGUUGUAACUACUCAGCUUCCCUAUUGUAUAUCAAGAAAUGGUCACAGACAAUAUGUAAGGAAUGCGUAUGGCUGUGUUCCAUCACAACUUUAUUUAUGGAUGCUGAAAUCAGAAUUUUAUAUAAUUUUCAUGUGUCACAAAUUUUUUUUUCUGAUUUUGUCCAUUCAUUAAAAAAUGCAAAACCUAUUUUUACCUUGUGAGCCACACUGAAACAGGCUGUAGGCUGAAUUGGGCCCGUGAACUGUAUUUGCAGACCCUUGUUCUAGGGCUUCUCUCUGACUUGGGCUCCAGGGUUAAGGGCAGAUUUCCAACCGAUUCUUGACAGCGUAGGAGGGGCAAACCUCCUCCUCACUCCAGUGAGAUAAGUGACUCAUCCAAUAAUGGCAAAGACUCAAAAGCAAGGAGAUAGAACCUCAUGUAUGCGUGGACAUUUAACUGGCUCCGGUGAAGGCUUGAAGCCCUAUUUGCUAAGCUUCUGCUCAUUUGCUGCUCCAGAAAGUGACAGCCUGCAUGACCAGUCCACAGCCUGUUACUUUGGGGAUUUUACAGGGUUCAUAGAGUAAAGAGGAGACUUUGGGUAAAUACAGAUCAAAUAUUUGGGUGACACUGGUAGAGUGAAAAGGUAGACUUUUAAGCCACAUCGCCUUGCACGCAGCUUCCAGCUCUGCCAUUUACAGCCUAGUAAUCUGAAUCAAGACACUUAAUUACUCUGGGUCUCAGUUUCCUCAUCCAUAAAAUGAGGAGCAAUAAUAACCCCCCUUUUAGGCUUAUUAUGAGGAUAAAGUAAGACAAUACGUGAAAUGACCUUGGAUCAAGCUCAGCUUGGCAUCUCAUCUUUACUUAAUGGAUGGUUUUAAAAUUAUUUUUAAUGCCAACUUCACAAAGUUGUGAUAGAAAUUAAAUGAGAUAAAUGUGUAAAGGGCUCAGGGACAUAGUAUGUGUUAAGAAAAUUAUUGCUACUAUUAAAAAUAUGAUGGAGAAAAAAAGGUUAGGUAUUUCUCCAUCUUCUCUUUGGGAUGAUGGCUCUCAAGAGGUGGGAAGAGGAGGACAAUGGCACCUGCAUAAUUUUGAUUGCAGGAUAUUUGUAUUCUUUCCCUUUCUGAAGUUCCUGAAUAGCAAAUGUUUUUGACAGCAAUUGGGUCUGGAUGCCACGUUUUGAAGCCCAACUAACAAACAAGAGAUUAUGAGACUGCAGUUAUCUUUUACCAGCUGCGUGGAAAAAUCCUGUCAUUUGGCAUCACACAACUAUGAAUUCUUUUAUCUCUUUCUCCCUUCUUAUGUGCUCCUGGAGCAUAUGUAAGCAAGCUCUGACAUUGAUAACACAUUCUUAUUAACCAUUAUCUGAAAGAUGGGAUGCCAACUUAGGAGUUUUGCAUUGCAUAUCAGAUGGAAAUUUCCAUUGGGGAAUGGAAUGUUAUCCACUCCUGGCCAAUGACAUCCCAAGGCUGAAGUUACCUUCUACAUACACCAUAGUCUGAGGUCAUGAAUUGGCUAGAUUUCUGCCCAAAUCUUUGCCUACUCCUUCAGAAGGAAAUGGAAUAUGAGGCAACUAUGGGCACUUAGAGGGAACAGAAAGUUGAUUUUCUGUCAUAUAAACGUUAGCUUCUUAGGCAGUGUAGAUGGAGCAGGUGACUGGAGCCAGAGGGAUGGGGUUGUGCUUGUAGAAAGGCCAAAUGAACAGGCUGAGUGGAGACCCUGUGGGGGCCCCUGAGAUGCACCCUUUAAUAUUCAUCCCACUCCAUGUGGUCAGUCUAAGCACAUCAUGUAAUUCCCAUUUUCCUUGACAGAAAUUGGUUAAGUAAAGGGCAUGUUAUCCACUCCUGGCCAAUGAGAUGAGGAAAAGCCUACAGUACGUGUGUGUGUGUUGGUUGGGGGGCAGUCUGGGGAAAGUUUAUCUUCUGUGAAGAAGGAACUCAGAGAGAGAGUGCCUUUUCGCCCUGUGGACUUUGCCAUGAGCGCCUGGUGCUAAGGUGUCAUCCUGCUAUCAUCCCUCUGAGAGACCAGCAUCAAGUAUUCCUGAAAGGCAAGAGGGAUGGUUCCUGGAUCCCUAAGGACAGCAUUGCCUGGCAGCUGAUCUCUACUUGCCUUCAAAUUAUAAUAUCUCUGUGCUUGCUCAUUGUUGAAGUCAGUUUGAGUUGGAACUCUGUUCCUUGUAACCAGAAGGAUCCUAUCUGGGGGCCACAUUUUUGACAUUGGAAUAUCACCAAGGUGAGAAAUAAGGGAAGGGUGUGCACUAGGCAUUUAGAAGAGGGGAGCGGCUGGGCACUUUUAAUGGGUUAGUGUGAAACAUACCUUGUACUCUAUCUGGAGCAUCCUAUAUUAAUUAACUAACUUAUUAAUGAGCCUGUAUAAGGCACCUACUACAUGGUCAGCAUAGGGACAGGUCUUUCUGAGAAUAAAAGAGUCAUAUAAAACAUCAUUCUAGUUGUCAAGCAUCAUAAAAUUUAGUUGGUGGAGACAAGACUAGAAAUAAAACAAAAUAAGUGGUUUAGAGAAGGGCGUGAUGAGUGAGUGCUAGAGUAGGUAAAAGCUUCGUGGGAGAUGGAGAAAGCUAAGCUGGGCCUUAAUCAGCAGAAAGAAUAAAGGUGAGGACAUAGAGACGUUAAGUCACAUGCUCCAACACAGCCAGAAAGUGGCAGAGCUGGGGUUCAAACCCAGUAUGUCUGACUCCUUCCAACCCUGGGCAUGUAACUACUAUGCUGGAGCAUACUUAUGCUCCCAAUGUGUAUUUGUAAGCCUGGAAUGCUCAUAUAUUAAUUUAUAAUGAGAAAUAGAACUGGAAAACAUUAUGAAUUCAAAAUCUGUGAAGCCAAGUUAUAUUCAGAAGGUUCCCAAGGCAGCUUGAAGCUGAUUAACAGACAGGAUAUCCCUGACACCAGGAUGGAGGCAUGUGUCUUGAAGGGCUAGUCCUUCUCUUCCUGGCUAGGUACUGGUAAGAGAAUGGCCAGUUUUGGAGUCUUGGGGCUCCCAUUUAAAUGCUCCAGGCUGUUCCUAAAGUCCUUCUUCAGUCAUGGUGUAAGUCAACUGGUCAGGCCUCUAGGUGUUCAUUAUGUUCACAUUUAAUUCAGUGGUGUACUAGCAAGUGUUUAACAAAUGGCUCUCUGGGGCACUGGGGGAAGCCCUAAUUUGUAACAUUCACCAAGUCAAGUUCCAUGGUGUAAAUACUCCCUCCAAGACUAUUUCAAGCUACCAGCAGGAAGAGAUGCACACAAUCAAUGGCUCUUGAGUGCUGGUACCGGCAGGCUCCAGCACACCACUGUGCUCACAUUGCAUCCUGCCUCUCAGAGCCUUCCCAGAUGCCUUGAUGGGAAUUAUGGAAUGUUCUCAGACUUUUGUAGAACAUUUACCAAAUUAGUCACAGCCAUGUGUGUGAACUUUUUCAGUUUAAUUAUUGGAAAAUGGCCUCACUUCCAAAUUCUUGGAGAACACUGUUUUUACCUUCAUGUACCGUCAACUAAUAGAGCUGUAAGGUGGCCAAAGAAACCAAAGAUGGAUUUCCUUUCUGUAUUGCCUAAAGUCCAGAGUUCUGUUAAAAAUUACUGUCAAGAGUGAGGCUUGGGGUCUGUGCUGCACUGAGUAAUACCAUGGGUAGCAAUAGAUAAAUUGGCACAGAAGAAUCUUCUACAGCACCACCGCCAUUCACCCCCUGCCUCACUUUGCUGUCUUACCCAACAUUACAUGACAGAAAAAAGAAAUUGUGUUGCCUAGUAACAGCUCUGAGCAAGGGGAGACCAGUCAAUACAAUUCUGAAUUAAGGCAACAUCCACAAAAAAAUCCAUCUUGAGGAUUUAUACGAAAACCAAAGUGUAGUUAUAGUCUUACAAGCUGGUGGAGAAGUCCCAUUAGCUUUGGGUAUUGGAUUAUUUAGAAUAAUAUAUCUGAGAUAUAGAUUUCUUUUUCUGGGAAGAAUAAUCUACUCUGAGGCCAUGAAAAUCAAUAGGCCACUUUGAAGACUGACUUCAGCUGUUAUUGGUAAUGUUUUGGUUGUGUUUGUGAAUCAACAAUCAAGCAAAAAUAAGGCCAUUUAGUAGCUCACACUAAAGAGCACUACUUGUCAAUUUUGCAACGAAGCCUCUCCAUCCAUUGAAUGAAACAGCAUCUCCCAAGGGCUGCUGUGAGCCUAUGGAGACCCUGAAAGCUGACACCAGCACAAAGAAUUAAGGAUAAGUCUUCCAGGGUGGCCAGUCAUCCCAGCAUAUUGAGACUGAGGAGUUUCCCAGGAUGCUGGACUUUUAAUGCUAAAACUAGGAAACUCCUUGGCAAACUGGGACAGUUGGUCGCCCUGGAUCAGUGGUUCUCAACUGCAGAUGAUUUUGCCCCUCAGGUAGGGUUGCCAGAUAAAACAGAAGAUACUCUGUUAAGUUUGAUUUUCAGAUAGACAAUGAAUAAUUUUUCAGUAUAAGUAUGUCCCAACUACUACAAUGGGACACAUUUAGAGUUAAAAAGAAUUAUUCUUUGCUUGUCUAAAAUUCGAAUUUAACUAGGCUUUUAACAUUUUUUAAAAAAUUUUUUUUGUAAAACUGACAGUCUUACCCCCAGGAGAUAGUUGGUAAUGAUUGGAAGCCUCUUCGGUUUUCACAACCACAACUUCAUCAGGGAUGCUACUAGCAUCUAGUGAGUAGAGGCCAGGCAUGCUGCUAAACUUCCUAUAAGGCACCAAUGCAGACAACAGCUGCCUAAAACAAAGAAUUAUCUGGCCUGAAAUGUCAGUGGUGCAGAGGUUGGGAAAUCCUGCCGUAGACCUAAACAAGCUGGUGCCACGGAGCUCCAUCUUCCUUGAGAAAACACUAAAGGAUGGACGUGGGCUUCCCUGCUUCAUGCACACAGAUGGAAAAAUGUCACAUACAUUCCUGACCUUUAACACUUUCAGUCUGAUGCGUCAAACAGCCAUUGGGAGCUUAAGAAGUGUCUAGCAAAAUGGGACAAUUCCCCUUGCCGGACUCCCCCUUCCACACUUGGAAGGGUGAGGCAGUGUGUGUCAUCAAACAAUAGAGCAGAUAAAAGCUGAAUCAGGGUGGUCUCCAGGACACCCCCAUCUCCCCAGACUUCUAUGGUGACAUUUCUUGCACUCCUCAAGUUUGUUCAUGGCUUUGAAAACACAGUUUCAGAAUGUCUUCAUUGUUUCAUACGGUACUGGCCGCGCCUGGAGUUUUCCUGAAGGAAACUGUAGCAGCAGGAAUUUUGUGCAAUACUAUAAUAAGGGGGCUUUAUCCUUCCAAAAAUACAUCCUUUCUCCUUGUUGCCAGCUCUCCCACAGCCCUGUGAAAAAUGUAGCUCAGAAGUUACUGAGGCGUUUUUCUGUUUUUCCUUUCUCACUUUAGUUCAUAUCAAGCAACAGAAAGCAAUUCUAUUAUUCACACUUAGGCGUGCUAGCUUGAAUGAAUGAACAAAUCAAAUAUCAAUCCUUUUCUCAUUUCCCUAGUGUGUAAGAACUGAAAUGUAGAAAGUGGCAUCUGCUUAAAAGGAAUUGGUGAAUUUGACUUCUCUAGGUACCUUAUCCAAGUGGAAUGAGUGUUUAAUGGGCACAGAGUUUCAGUUGGGAAGAUCGAAACGUUCUGGUAGAUGGAUGUUGGUGAUGGUUGCACAACUAUGUGAUUAUACUUAAUGUCAUGGAACUGUACACUUAAAAAUGGUUAAAAUAGUAGAUUUUAUGUUAUGUAUAUUUAAUCACAGUUUAAAGAAAGGAAUUGGUGAUGCAUGUCUAUGCAUGUAAGUUUUGAUAUAUGCUUGCUGAUUGAUUAUUUAUCUAAGGUCUGUUUACAUAUUUUCCCCCAGUAAACUUGGUACUUGCCUCAUUGUCCUGUAUCCUUAUCCUUAAAUUAAUUGGACAAUGCCUCUUUCUUCUUCUCCCUCUUCUUAACUCCAGCAGUCACAUGAAGAUAGAAAUAUAUUUUGUCUUUGGAAGUUACUCUUUUUUAAUUUUUUAAUUUUUGUGGGUACAUACAUAGUAGGUGUAUAUAUCUAUGGGGUACAUAAAAUGCUUUGAAAUAGGUAUGCAAUGCAUAAUAAUUACAUCAUGGAAAAUGGGGUAUCCAUCCCCUCAAAUAUUUAUGUUUCAUGUUAUAAUCCAAUUAUACUCUGGAGUAUACGCUGAGUACUCCAAAUGUACUCAAUAGUACAAUUAAAUUACUACUGACUAUAAUCACCCUGUUGUACUACAAAAUACUAGGUCUUAUGCAUUAUUUCUAACUAAUGUUUUUGUACUCAUUUACCAUUCCCCCUCCCCUUCACAGUCCCCCAUUACCCUUCUCAGCCUGUGGUCACCAUCCUUCUACUCUCUAUGUCCAUGAGUUUGAUUGUUUUGAUUUUUAUUAACAAAUCCUGCAAAUAAGUUAGAAUAUGCAGUGUUUGUCUUUCUGUGCCUG